RNAcentral lists this ribosomal RNA (497 nucleotides) under uncultured bacterium. Its description in RNAcentral is "partial 16S ribosomal RNA". It matches the Rfam family "Bacterial small subunit ribosomal RNA", at positions 28 to 507 of the family's 1533-position model. The record is from RNAcentral.
GAUGAACGCUGGCGGCGUGCCUAAUACAUGCAAGUCGAGCGAACGGACGAGAAGCUUGCUUCUCUGAUGUUAGCGGCGGACGGGUGAGUAACACGUGGAUAACCUACCUAUAAGACUGGGAUAACUUCGGGAAACCGUAGCUAAUACCGGAUAAUAUUUUGAACCGCAGGGUUCAAAAGUGAAAGACGGUCUUGCUGGCACUUAUAGAUGGAUCCGCGCUGCAUUAGCUAGUUGGUAAGGUAACGGCUUACCAAGGCAACGAUGCAUAGCCGACCUGAGAGGGUGAUCGGCCACACUGGAACUGAGCCACGGUCCAGACUCCUACGGGAGGCACCAGUAGGGAAUCUUCCGCAAUGGGCGAAAGCCUGACGGAGCAACGCCGCGUGAGUGAUGAAGGUCUUCGGAUCGUAAAACUCUGUUAUUAGGGAAGAACAUAUGUGUAAGUAACUGUGCACAUCUUGACGGUACCUAAUCAGAAAGCCACGGCUAACUACGUG